RNAcentral lists this ribosomal RNA (241 nucleotides) under uncultured bacterium. RNAcentral's name for it is "partial 16S ribosomal RNA". It matches the Rfam family "Bacterial small subunit ribosomal RNA", at positions 118 to 347 of the family's 1533-position model. The record is from RNAcentral.
UGGGUAACCUGCCUCAAAGAGGGGAAUAGCCUCCCGAAAGGGAGAUUAAUACCGCAUAAUAUGUUUAAGUCGCAUGACUUUAACAUCAAAGGAUUUUCUUCGGAACUUCCACUUUGAGAUGGACCCGCGGCGCAUUAGCUAGUUGGUGAGGUAACGGCUCACCAAGGCAACGAUGCGUAGCCGACCUGAGAGGGUGAUCGGCCACAUUGGAACUGAGACACGGUCCAGACUCCGUAGGGAG